GUCUACGGCCAUGCAUGCCACCCUCAACACGCCUGAUCUCAUCUGAUUUCAGAAGCUAAGCAGGGUCGGGCCUGGUUAGUACUUGGAUGGGAGACCACCUAGGAAGACUAGGGCUGUAGGCU
RNAcentral lists this ribosomal RNA (122 nucleotides) under Pteropus alecto (black flying fox). The record is from RNAcentral. Lineage: Eukaryota; Metazoa; Chordata; Mammalia; Chiroptera; Pteropodidae.